GCAAGUCGAGCGGUAGCACAGAGAGCUUGCUCUCGGGUGACGAGCGGCGGACGGUUGAGUAAUGUCUGGGAAACUGCCUGAUGGAGGGGGAUCACUACUGGAAACGGUAGCUAAUACCGCAUAAUGUCGCAAGACCAAAGUGGGGGACCUUCGGGCCUCAUGCCAUCAGAUGUGCCCAGAUGGGAUUAGCUAGUAGGUGGGGUAACGGCUCACCUAGGCGACGAUCCCUAGCUGGUCUGAGAGGAUGACCAGCCACACUGGAACUGAGACACGGUCCAGACUCCUACGGGAGGCAGCAGUGGGGAAUAUUGCACAAUGGGCGCAAGCCUGAUGCAGCCAUGCCGCGUGUGUGAAGAAGGCCUUCGGGUUGUAAAGCACUUUCAGCGGGGAGGAAGGCGAUAAGGUUAAUAACCUUGUCGAUUGACGUUACCCGCAGAAGAAGCACCGGCUAACUCCGUGCCAGCAGCCGCGGUAAUACGGAGGGUGCAAGCGUUAAUCGGAAUUACUGGGCGUAAAGCGCACGCAGGCGGUCUGUCAAGUCGGAUGUGAAAUCCCCGGGCUCAACCUGGGAACUGCAUUCGAAACUGGCAGGCUAGAGUCUUGUAGAGGGGGGUAGAAUUCCAGGUGUAGCGGUGAAAUGCGUAGAGAUCUGGAGGAAUACCGGUGGCGAAGGCGGCCCCCUGGACAAAGACUGACGCUCAGGUGCGAAAGCGUGGGGAGCAAACAGGAUUAGAUACCCUGGUAGUCCACGCCGUAAACGAUGUCGAUUUGGAGGUUGUGCCCUUGAGGCGUGGCUUCCGGAGCUAACGCGUUAAAUCGACCGCCUGGGGAGUACGGCCGCAAGGUUAAAACUCAAAUGAAUUGACGGGGGCCCGCACAAGCGGUGGAGCAUGUGGUUUAAUUCGAUGCAACGCGAAGAACCUUACCUGGUCUUGACAUCCACAGAACUUAGCAGAGAUGCUUUGGUGCCUUCGGGAACUGUGAGACAGGUGCUGCAUGGCUGUCGUCAGC
Molecule: ribosomal RNA, 1011 nt
Filed under: Klebsiella pneumoniae
Lineage: Bacteria; Pseudomonadati; Pseudomonadota; Gammaproteobacteria; Enterobacterales; Enterobacteriaceae
Description: bacterial SSU rRNA
Rfam family: Bacterial small subunit ribosomal RNA
Source: RNAcentral